CAGUAGCCGCGGUAAUACGAGGGGGGCAAGCGUUGUUCGGAAUUAUUGGGCGUAAAGGGUGCGCAGGCGGUUUGUUAAGACAGAUGUGAAAUCCCCGGGCUCAACCUGGGAACUGCAUUUGUGACUGGCAAGCUAGAGUAUGGCAGAGGGGGGUGGAAUUCCGCGUGUAGCAGUGAAAUGCGUAGAUAUGCGGAGGAACACCGAUGGCGAAGGUAGCCCCCUGGGCCAAUACUGACGCUCAUGCACGAAAGCGUGGGGAGCAAACAGGAUUAGAUACCCCCGUAGUCCCUGUCUCUUAUAC
Molecule: ribosomal RNA, 301 nt
Filed under: uncultured bacterium
Lineage: Bacteria
Description: partial 16S ribosomal RNA
Rfam family: Bacterial small subunit ribosomal RNA
Source: RNAcentral